This is a long non-coding RNA of Cyanistes caeruleus (blue tit), 770 nucleotides long. The record is from Ensembl. Lineage: Eukaryota; Metazoa; Chordata; Aves; Passeriformes; Paridae.
GUGCUGCCAGCAUGUGGAGCUGAGAGCAGUGAAAGUCCAAAGGACUGGGGCACCAGAGGAGGUCACCAGGAGCUGUCAUGACUGCAGGACAUAUAUAAGCCCUGCAGGAAAGAGAAAGGGAGAAUGAUUCAUUGGUUGAUGCAAGCCUCUGUAGAAGUACUGAUCUAGUUGGAUCAGUAACUAACUUGGAUGGAUUUGCAACCAACAGCUCAGCAGCUGCUUCAUGAACCGUCCUUCCAGGAGGGAACGUCAAAAAGAUGGGUAUGAAGAACACUUGUCCAUUCGUAAUUGAAACUAUUCAAGAUGCAUGGGCCUGAAAGGGCAUUAUAAGUUUCUCAUGCUCUCUGGUGUAGUAAAGAUCUUGUCUUCUAGCAAACAUUAUGAAUGAAAGAUUUUCUUACAAGGAGAGAUGGAGUAGACUGAAUCAAGCCUCUGUCAAGAACCACUUCUGCAAUACUGAAUUAACAUACCCAAGACCGGCACAUCAGGAAGAUAGCCUUCUACCAAGAAUAGUGUGGAGAUACACUUUGUUCACAGAAGGAAACAUCAUGAGACUCAGACAGAUACAGUGCAUCCUCCGAUUGCAGAGAUGUUGCUGCUCUCUGAGCACUGCACACUCUGUGUUCAUGACUGAUGAAAAUAAUGCCCAGUUUUGGGGGAGAUUUGUGUUAUGGGAGACAGUAACAGCUGCUCUAAUAGGGUGGCUUAUCACUUUCUUGUGGAGACAGGUACAGCUUCUGUUCUCUUUUGCACCCUCAAAUCUGGUAUAA